CGUCCCCCACGCCUCUCCUUGUUCCCAGCCUCUUCUCUCUCUCUCUCUCCCUUAUCCUCUUCUCUCUCUCCCGUCCCCCACGCCUCUCCUUGUUCCCAGCCAAGAUCCACCUCCACCUACCGCCGUUCCCCAAGCCGCUGACGAGCACCAGCCAACGCCAUGGACGGCUGCGGAGCUUCGCGCCACCCGACGUCAACCGCAUCGCCGCCCCAAGGGAUCCGUGCGCGUGGCCGCGUUGAGCCGCACAUGCGCUAGAUCCAUCCGCCGGUGUGUGCCACCGUAGCAACAGGUUCGGCAAUGACUCUCGGCCCUGCCGCUUCAUUGCUCCUUCCCAAGCCGGCCUCCACUUUCUGACCCCGCCACCGGCGAGCUGUCAUGCCCGUCCUCGUCGCACUGGUGCUGUCCUCCAGUAUGCUUGCUGGCUGCGACCAGAGCCCUGUAUAUAUUUGGUUCGGUUGCAGUGCUGCUACUUCCCGGUGGAUCUAGGCUGCCCAGGCUAGCAACGUGUGUGUUGCUUUCUUGAUGGGUUUUAAGUGGAUCUUAAUUUGAUGUAUCCUGGCACUUGUCCGUGUGUAAAUCUGAUGUGUAGAACACUUAGAAGUUGCUACUCGUAGGAUAUUCUUGCUCGUAUGUGUACACAUGAAGAAUGGCUAGCUUGUAGAUCCGUUUUCUUUUUGUUAAAGAAAUAUACAUUCAUUUUUA
Molecule: ribosomal RNA, 702 nt
Filed under: Triticum aestivum (bread wheat)
Lineage: Eukaryota; Viridiplantae; Streptophyta; Magnoliopsida; Poales; Poaceae
Description: partial small subunit ribosomal RNA
Source: RNAcentral